GUGCUCGCUUCGGCAGCACAUAUACUAAAAAAUUGGAACGAUACAGAGAAGAUUAGCAUGGCCCCUGCGCAAGGAUAAAAUACACCAAUCUAUAUUUUCUGCAUUCACUA
This is a small nuclear RNA of Eptesicus fuscus (big brown bat), 110 nucleotides long. Lineage: Eukaryota; Metazoa; Chordata; Mammalia; Chiroptera; Vespertilionidae. The record is from RefSeq and is a predicted model, not a curated record.